CUACGGGUUGCUCCAGUGAGGAAUAUUGCACAAUGGGGGGAACCCUGAUGCAGCAACGCCGCGUGGAGGAUGACGCAUUUCGGUGUGUAAACUCCUUUUAUAUGUCAAGAAAAUGACGGUAGCAUAUGAAUAAGCGCCGGCUAACUCCGUGCCAGCAGCCGCGGUAAUACGGAGGGCGCAAGCGUUACUCGGAAUCACUGGGCGUAAAGGACGCGUAGGCGGGUUGAAAAGUCAGGUGUGAAAGACUACAGCUUAACUGUAGAACUGCACUUGAAACUCUCAAUCUAGAGUAUGGGAGGGGCAGAUGGAAUUAGUGGUGCAGGGGUAAAAUCCGUAGAUAUCACUAGGAAUACCUAAAGCGAAGGCGAUCUGCUGGAACAUUACUGACGCUAAGGCGUGAAAGCGUGGGGAGCAAACAGGAUUAGAUACCCCGGUAGUC
This 439-nucleotide ribosomal RNA is filed under the name uncultured bacterium. RNAcentral describes it as "partial 16S ribosomal RNA". It matches the Rfam family "Bacterial small subunit ribosomal RNA", at positions 339 to 795 of the family's 1533-position model. The record is from RNAcentral.